RNAcentral lists this ribosomal RNA (301 nucleotides) under uncultured bacterium. Its description in RNAcentral is "partial 16S ribosomal RNA". It matches the Rfam family "Bacterial small subunit ribosomal RNA", at positions 509 to 807 of the family's 1533-position model. The record is from RNAcentral.
CAGCAGCCGCGGGAAUACGUAGGGUGCAAGCGUUAAUCGGAAUUACUGGGCGUAAAGCGUGCGCAGGCGGUUAUGUAAGACAGUUGUGAAAUCCCCGGGCUUAACCUGGGAACUGCAUUUGUGACUGGCGAGCUAGAGUAUGGCAGAGGGGGGUAGAAUUCCACGUGUAGCAGUGAAAUGCGUAGAGAUGUGGAGGAAUACCGAUGGCGAAGGCAGCCCCCUGGGCCAAUACUGACGCUCAUGCACGAAAGCGUGGGGAGCAAACAGGAUUAGAUACCCCCGUAGUCCCUGUCUCUUAUAC